This 484-nucleotide ribosomal RNA is filed under the name uncultured bacterium. Its description in RNAcentral is "partial 16S ribosomal RNA". It matches the Rfam family "Bacterial small subunit ribosomal RNA", at positions 30 to 507 of the family's 1533-position model. The record is from RNAcentral.
AUUGAACGCUGGCGGCAGGCCUAACACAUGCAAGUCGAGCGGAAGAAGGGAGCUUGCUCCUGGAUUCCGCGGCGGACGGGUGAGUAAUACCUAGGAAUCUGCCUGGUAGUGGGGGAUAACGUCCGGAAACGGGCGCUAAUACCGCAUACGUCCUGCGGGAGCAAGUGGGGGAUCUUCGGACCUCACGCUAUCAGGUGAGCCUAGGUCGGAGUAGCUAGUUGGUGGGGUAAAGGCCUACCAAGGCGACGAUCCGUAACUGGUCUGAGAGGAUGAUCAGUCACACUGGAAGUGAGACACGGUCCAGACUCCUACGGGAGGCAGCAGUGGGGAAUAUUGGACAAUGGGCGAAAGCAUGAUCCAGCCAUGCCGCGUGUGUGAAGAAGGCCUUCGGAGUGUAAAGCACUUUAAGUUGGGAGGAAGCGCAGUAAGUUAAUACCUUGCUGUUUUGACGGUACUAACAGAAUAAGCACCGGCUAACUUCGUG